UCGCGGGGUUUUGCAGAGGACU
RNAcentral lists this microRNA (22 nucleotides) under Bos taurus (domestic cattle). Its description in RNAcentral is "bta-miR-12025". The record is from miRBase by way of RNAcentral. Lineage: Eukaryota; Metazoa; Chordata; Mammalia; Artiodactyla; Bovidae.